CUACGGAGGGUGCGAGCGUUAAUUGGAAUUACUGGGCGUAAAGCGUACGUAGGCGGUUUGCUAAGUCGGAUGUGAAAGCCCCGGGCUUAACCUGGGAACUGCAUUUGAUACUGGCAGACUAGAGUAUGAUAGAGGGGGGUAGAAUUCCUGGUGUAGCGGUGAAAUGCGUAGAUAUCAGGAGGAAUACCAGUGGCGAAGGCGGCCCCCUGGAUCAAUACUGACGCUGAGGUACGAAAGCGUGGGUAGCAAACAGGAUUAGAAACCCUUGUAGUCC
This 274-nucleotide ribosomal RNA is filed under the name uncultured bacterium. Its description in RNAcentral is "partial 16S ribosomal RNA". It matches the Rfam family "Bacterial small subunit ribosomal RNA", at positions 523 to 796 of the family's 1533-position model. The record is from RNAcentral.